AACACAUGCAAGUCGAGGGUUUCGGACCACCGGCGCACGGGUGCGUAACGCGUAUGCAAUCUACCUUUUACAGAGGGAUAGCCCAGAGAAAUUUGGAUUAAUACCUCAUAGUAUAAUGACUCGGCAUCGAGAUAUUAUUAAAGUCACAACGGUAAAAGAUGAGCAUGCGUCCCAUUAGCUAGUUGGUAAGGUAACGGCUUACCAAGGCUACGAUGGGUAGGGGUCCUGAGAGGGAGAUCCCCCACACUGGUACUGAGACACGGACCAGACUCCUACGGGAGGCAGCAGUGAGGAAUAUUGGUCAAUGGGCGCAAGCCUGAACCAGCCAUGCCGCGUGCAGGAUGAAGCAUCUAUGGUGUGUAAACUGCUUUUGUACGAGAAGAAACACUCCUUCGUGAAGGAGCUUGACGGUAUCGUAAGAAUAAG
This 426-nucleotide ribosomal RNA is filed under the name grassland soil clone sl1_218. RNAcentral describes it as "bacterial SSU rRNA". It matches the Rfam family "Bacterial small subunit ribosomal RNA", at positions 50 to 490 of the family's 1533-position model. The record is from RNAcentral.